AUUGAGCGCUGGCGGCAGGCCUAACACAUGCAAGUCGAGCGGAUGAAGGGAGCUUGCUCCUGGAUUCAGCGGCGGACGGGUGAGUAAUGCCUAGGAAUCUGCCUGGUAGUGGGGGAUAACGUCCGGAAACGGGCGCUAAUACCGCAUACGUCCUGAGGGAGAAAGUGGGGGAUCUUCGGACCUCACGCUCUCAGAUGAGCCUAGGUCGGAUUAGCUAGUUGGUGGGGUAAAGGCCUACCAAGGCGACGAUCCGUAACUGGUCUGAGAGGAUGAUCAGUCACACUGGAACGUAGACACGGUCCAGACUCCUACGGGAGGCCGCAGUGGGGAAUAUUGGGCAAUGGGCGGAAGCCUGAUCCAGCCAUGCCGCGUGUGUGAAGAAGGUCUUCGGAUUGUAAAGCACUUUAAGUUGGGAGGAAGGGCAGUAAGUUAAUACCUUGCUGUUUUGACGUUACCAACAGAAUAAGCACCGGCUAACUUCGUG
Molecule: ribosomal RNA, 484 nt
Filed under: uncultured bacterium
Lineage: Bacteria
Description: partial 16S ribosomal RNA
Rfam family: Bacterial small subunit ribosomal RNA
Source: RNAcentral